UGCAUUUACUGACAUUUUCAGACCGCGCUGAUGCCAUGCCGUCCGGCGGUCCAAGCUACGGCAGCUACUGCUGUGUUUCGUGGUGCUUGAACAAUGGCAGAACCCACAAGAAGCCAGGGACGAGUUUCUUCCGCAUACCACGGGACGGCAGGAUGACAGCAUGGAUGCAGUAUGCCGGACAAGAUGAUCUCCUGAGUAAGCCGGCCAGCCUAUUGUACGCAACGUACAGGGUUUGCAGCGACCAUUUACUGCUGAAAGUUUCAUGGACCCUGGGCACACAAGGCUUACAAGAAUGGCUGUUCCCAGUGUGCAACCAAUUGCACCAUGUUCUCUGAGCAUCGCUUCAAGUAGUGACUGGGACAUGACUGCAGAAGCCGCACUGCAAGGGUCUGCGGCAGAGGCUUCGAAAAGCGGCUCCCACACAUUGAAGUGCCCCGAGGAGC
Long non-coding RNA from Dermacentor silvarum, 443 nucleotides. RefSeq lists it as uncharacterized. The transcript has 4 exons. The record is from RefSeq and is a predicted model, not a curated record. NCBI's taxonomy places the organism in Eukaryota, Metazoa, Arthropoda, Arachnida, Ixodida, Ixodidae.